GGGGAUUUAGCUCAGUGGCAUAAGUACCUGCCUUGUAAGCAGGCAUUGUGAGUUCGAUCCCCA
This 63-nucleotide transfer RNA is filed under the name Cavia porcellus (domestic guinea pig). It matches the Rfam family "tRNA", at positions 1 to 62 of the family's 71-position model. Rfam says of the family: Transfer RNA (tRNA) molecules are approximately 80 nucleotides in length. Their secondary structure includes four short double-helical elements and three loops (D, anti-codon, and T loops). Further hydrogen bonds mediate the characteristic L-shaped molecular structure. tRNAs have two regions of fundamental functional importance: the anti-codon, which is responsible for specific mRNA codon recognition, and the 3' end, to which the tRNAs corresponding amino acid is attached (by aminoacyl-tRNA synthetases). tRNAs cope with the degeneracy of the genetic code in two manners: having more than one tRNA (with a specific anti-codon) for a particular amino acid; and 'wobble' base-pairing, i.e. permitting non-standard base-pairing at the 3rd anti-codon position. The record is from Rfam by way of RNAcentral. Lineage: Eukaryota; Metazoa; Chordata; Mammalia; Rodentia; Caviidae.